CCCAUGUGGGUGGGUUUGAAACUUAAAGCAAACCCUUACAAUUCACCUGCAUGGAUGUAAGAUUUUCUCCAUAUAUACGGCUAUGUUUCUAGGCAAGUUCUAGAUACCCAAGACCUCAGCCCAACCCAACCGAAGUGAUCUUGGGCUUUUGAUAUCUCAACCCUAGCCCAUCUCAAAGCUGGAGCACAUGUAUGUGUGUGUCUGUGUUUGCAUGCAAUAUCUUUGGAUUG
Long non-coding RNA from Telopea speciosissima, 230 nucleotides. RefSeq lists it as uncharacterized. NCBI's taxonomy places the organism in Eukaryota, Viridiplantae, Streptophyta, Magnoliopsida, Proteales, Proteaceae. The record is from RefSeq and is a predicted model, not a curated record. The transcript has 3 exons.